AUUUGGGAAACCCCUAAUUUCUGUUAGGGUUAAGAUGAUUUGGGCCUGGGUAUUGGGACGCGUUCUCUUUGCCAUCACCUGCAAUCCUAUUCACACCCCAUUCCCUACCUGCAUACAAAAGGCUUUGGGCUCGAGUACGAUUUCUCUGCCUGCCACCGCGCCGUUACUAUUCGCACCUCCAUUUCCUUUCUGCCAAACAAUAAAAGAGGGUUUGGGCCUGGCCAUUGGACUUCGGACUCUCUGCCUGUCACCUCCUGUUCUCUAUUCGCACCACCACUCCAUUUCUGCAAACAAGAAAAGAGGGUUUGGGCCUGGCCAUUGGACUUCAGACUCUCUUCCUGUCACCUCCCGUUCUCUAUUCACACCACCACUCCAUUUCUGCAAACAAGACAAAGAAAGAGUUGGGCCAGAACACAUUAUUUCGGACUGCACCCCCGGUUUUAAUCUCUGCACCCCUAUUCUUAUUGGGCUUGGACUGUAUUUUUUUUUAUUAUUUUCUUUGUUUUUUAUUUCUUUAACUUUGGCAAUUUUUUUUUUUAUUAUUGUGCGUUGUUAUAUCUCUUUGCUAAUAAAAAUAAAAAUAUAAAAAUCAUAAAAAAUUAAAAAUCAAUUAAAAAUAUUUUGAAAAGAUUCAAGCACACGUGCGACCGCUCGCGUAGGCCUUGUGCGGAAAACCUUUUCCUUUUCUUUUACAAAAAUUAAAAAUCAAUUAAAAAUAUUUUGAAAAGGUUCAAGCACACGUGCGACCGCUCGCGUAGGCCUUGUGCGGAAAACCUUUUCCUUUUCUUUUUACAAAAAUUAAAAAUCAAAUAAAAAUAUUUUGAAAGGGUUUAAGCACACGUGCGACCGCUCGCGUAGGCCUUGUGCUGAAAACCUUUUCCCUUUUCUUUUAAAAAUUCAAAAUCAAUAAAAAUAUUUUGAAAGGGUUUAAGC
This 933-nucleotide long non-coding RNA is filed under the name Vigna radiata. RNAcentral's name for it is "long non-coding RNA (VRAD_LNC007692)". The record is from RNAcentral. Lineage: Eukaryota; Viridiplantae; Streptophyta; Magnoliopsida; Fabales; Fabaceae.